Molecule: ribosomal RNA, 902 nt
Filed under: uncultured bacterium
Lineage: Bacteria
Description: bacterial SSU rRNA
Rfam family: Bacterial small subunit ribosomal RNA
Source: RNAcentral
UAGAGUUUGAUCCUGGCUCAGGAUGAACGCUAGCUACAGGCUUAACACAUGCAAGUCGAGGGGAAACGACAUCGAAAGCUUGCUUUUGAUGGGCGUCGACCGGCGCACGGGUGAGUAACGCGUAUCCAACCUGCCCAUCACUUGGGGAUAACCUUGCGAAAGUAAGACUAAUACCCAAUGAUAUCUCUAGAAGACAUCUGAAAGAGAUUAAAGAUUUAUCGGUGAUGGAUGGGGAUGCGUCUGAUUAGCUUGUUGGCGGGGUAACGGCCCACCAAGGCGACGAUCAGUAGGGGUUCUGAGAGGAAGGUCCUCCACAUUGGAACUGAGACACGGUCCAAACUCCUACGGGAGGCAGCAGUGAGGAAUAUUGGUCAAUGGGCGAGAGCCUGAACCAGCCAAGUAGCGUGCAGGAUGACGGCCCUAUGGGUUGUAAACUGCUUUUAUAAGGGAAUAAAGUGAGUCUCGUGAGACUUUUUGCAUGUACCUUAUGAAUAAGGACCGGCUAAUUCCGUGCCAGCAGCCGCGGUAAUACGGAAGGUCCGGGCGUUAUCCGGAUUUAUUGGGUUUAAAGGGAGCGUAGGCCGGAGAUUAAGCGUGUUGUGAAAUGUAGACGCUCAACGUCUGCACUGCAGCGCGAACUGGUUUCCUUGAGUACGCACAAAGUGGGCGGAAUUCGUGGUGUAGCGGUGAAAUGCUUAGAUAUCACGAAGAACUCCGAUUGCGAAGGCAGCUCACUGGAGCGCAACUGACGCUGAAGCUCGAAAGUGCGGGUAUCGAACAGGAUUAGAUACCCUGGUAGUCCGCACGGUAAACGAUGGAUGCCCGCUGUUGGUCUGAAUAGGUCAGCGGCCAAGCGAAAGCAUUAAGCAUCCCACCUGGGGAGUACGCCGGCAACGGUGAAA